This is a long non-coding RNA of Paramormyrops kingsleyae, 853 nucleotides long. RefSeq lists it as uncharacterized. The record is from RefSeq and is a predicted model, not a curated record. NCBI's taxonomy places the organism in Eukaryota, Metazoa, Chordata, Actinopteri, Osteoglossiformes, Mormyridae.
GUUACUAGUACGGUUAGUGUCCACUGGUUUGGUACCUGGCCCGGCUAGGAGACAGAGCGUGCUGCACAAUAAACAGUGCCACUGAAAACUGUAAUGACCGACAUAUCUUCAUUUGCCACACUAAACGGUGCAUCAGUAAGGCGGUAUUUCUGAUGCACGUUUGCAAACCGCAGCCGCAAAGCUCAAGGAAAGCCGCCUACAGGAAGCAGUGCAAUCCGGGAAGCUGUUGCCAUGAUACCCUCCUGCUGAGCCUGUCCUCCUCAGCUUACUCCUGUUUGACCUGGCAGCCCGGAUUUUGUUUCUCUGACUCGGCAGAAACAUUUCAGGCCACCUGUACGUGACUCCAUUUCGGGCACCCCCGCCCCCCCGUGACUGGUCGCCGGCUCCCCUGCAGACCUGUUUGUCUCCCUUUUUGCCCAUUGAUCUUCUCACAGUGGAUAUCCCCAGCAAGAACCAUUACUCACUGUCUCGACCAUAUAAAGAGGGCAAGUGAGCCAAAUAUCGGUGUCCCAUUGGGGGGAAUCCAAGAUUCUGCCUGACAGAUCUGCCUGAAACUUUGUAAUAAAUGACAAGCACAUUUCAAAUUCUCUACAACCCGGCAGCAUCUUGUCAGUAUGUUGGCACUUUGAUACCAGAUAAAUGGACACGAACCACACUAGCUUAGCACCACAAUAUGACCAUUAUUUAAUGCUGCUGGGGUGUUUACACAGCUGAAUAUACAUUGGGUCUAGCAUCCCGCUGAGUAUCAACAGAACCCUGCUGCAUUUAUACACUUAUUGUUUCAGAAUCAACAACAGGCCUUAGACUCCUGUACCUAUCUUGUAAUCUAUAUUUCAGUGUAUCCUUCAAUAAA